CUCCUGUACUCCCUGUUCACCCACAACUGGGUGACCACACACACACGACUCCAACACCAUCAAUGAGUUUACCGACAACACAACGGUGUUGGACCUGAUCAGCAAAGAGACAGCCUACAGGCAGGAAGUUAGAGCCCUGGCACCGUGGUGAAAGGGAAACAGCCUCUCCGUGAAUGGCAGCAAAACUAAGGAGCUGGUUGUGGACGACAGGAGAAAGAGGGAAGAGCAGAACCCCAUCCACAUCGACGGGGCUGUUGAACCACGGACCGUUCACUCUGUUACAAUCUGGCAAGCGGUAUCCAAUAAUGUUGGUACCAUCUUUUGUGCUGCUACCAUGUUGUGUUGCUACCAUGUUGUUCUUCUACCAUGUUGUUCUUCUACCAUGUUGUUCUGCUACCAUGUUGUGCUGCUACCAUGUUGUUCUUCUACCAUGUUGUUCUUCUACCAUGUUGUUCUGCUACCAUGUUGUUCUGCUACCAUGUUGUGCUUCUACCAUGUUGUGCUGCUACCAUGUUGUGUGUGCCUCUACCAUGUUGUGCUGCUACCAUGUUGGGCUGCUAUCAGGUUGUGUGUGCUUCUACCAUGUUGUGCUUCUACCAUGUUGUGCUUCUACCAUGUUGUGCUGCUACCAUGUUGUGUGUGCCUCUACCAUGUUAUUCUUCUACCAUGUUGGGCUGCUAUCAGGUUGUGUUUUUAUCAUGUGUUGCUUUAAUGCUAUGUUGUCAUCUUGGUUAUUAUUUAUUUAUUUAUUUCACCUUUAUUUAACCAGGUAGGCAAGUUGAGAACAAGUCCUUUAUUUAACCAGGUAGGCAAGUUGAGAACAAGUUUUCAUUUACAACUGCGACCUGGCCAAGAUAAAGCAAAGCCGUUUGACACACACAACAACACAGAGUUACACAUGGAGUAAAACAAACAUACAGUCAAUAAUACAGUAGAAAAAUAAGUCUAUAUACAAUGUGAGCAAAUGAGGUGAGAUAAGGGAGGUAAAGGCAAAAAAGGCCAUGGUGGCGAAGUACAUACAAUAUAGCAAGUAAAACACUGGAAUGGUAGAUUUGUAGUAGAAGAAAGUGCAAAAUAGAAAUAGAAAUAAUGGGGUGCAAAGGAGCAAAAUAAAUACAUAAAUACAGUAGGGGAAGAGGUAGUUGUUUGGUUCUCUCUUUAUGUAGUGUUGUGGUGCUAAUGCUAAUGAUAAUGCUAGUUAAAUAAAGGUUAAAAAAUCAAUAAUACCACCUCUUCUAUUACUCUACUACUUGUUAUUUUGGACUAUUUUCAUUGUUAUUGUUCAUUAUUGAUUCAUGUACCUUUUAAUACCUGCUUUAAACUGGGUAUGUAUCAAAUACAUUUAUUGGAUUUUGUCUGAGCAGUGUGGUUAUUCCCUCUCUCUCUCUCUCUCUCUCUC
Molecule: long non-coding RNA, 1399 nt
Filed under: Salmo salar (Atlantic salmon)
Lineage: Eukaryota; Metazoa; Chordata; Actinopteri; Salmoniformes; Salmonidae
Description: lncRNA (ENSSSAG00000105126.1)
Source: RNAcentral